Protobothrops mucrosquamatus (brown spotted pit viper) is the source of this 386-nucleotide long non-coding RNA. RefSeq lists it as uncharacterized. The record is from RefSeq and is a predicted model, not a curated record. The transcript has 4 exons. NCBI's taxonomy places the organism in Eukaryota, Metazoa, Chordata, Lepidosauria, Squamata, Viperidae.
AGAUCAUAAAAGGGGAGGAGGAAUCUCCGCAGCAGAAGCUACAUUUCUCUUAGUCAAGUCUGCAUUGAAGGGCUUGCUUCCCUUUCCACUUCCCCAGGAAUCUUACAGUCCUGCUUAGAUACAACUUAAUUUACACUGAUCUGACCUAAGAAACAUAGUGUGGAGCAUUGACGAAUUAAUUAUACAUUUUGUAAUAACUGUAUUGUUACUGAACAAUGUCUUCAAUCUUAAAAGCAUUUGGGAGAGAAGACAAAGACAAGAAGGAUGAAAAGAACAAAGGAAAAGAACAUAAAGACCAUAAAGAUGGAGACAAAAAGGACAAGAAAAAGAAAAAAGAGAAAAAGGAGAAAAAGCAUGACGGCCAAGAUGAUGACAGCUCCAGCAGC